Molecule: ribosomal RNA, 497 nt
Filed under: uncultured bacterium
Lineage: Bacteria
Description: partial 16S ribosomal RNA
Rfam family: Bacterial small subunit ribosomal RNA
Source: RNAcentral
GAUGAACGCUGGCGGCGUGCCUAAUACAUGCAAGUCGAGCGAACAGACGAGGAGCUUGCUCCUCUGACGUUAGCGGCGGACGGGUGAGUAACACGUGGAUAACCUACCUAUCAGACUGGGAUAACUUCGGGAAACCGGAGCUAAUCCCGGAUAAUAUAUUGAACCGCAUGGUUCAAUAGUGAAAGACGGUUUUGCUGUCACUUAUCGCUGCAUCUGCGCCGCAUUAGCUAGUUGUUAAGGUCACGGCUUACCAAGGCGACGAUGCGUAGCCGACCUGAGAGGGUGAUAGGACACACUGGAACUGAGACACGGUCCAGACUCCUAAGGGAGGCAGCAGUAGGGAAUCGUACGCAAUGGGCGAAAGCCUGACGGAGCAACGCCGCGUGAGUGAUGAAGGUCUUCGGAUCGUAAAACUCGGUUAUUAGGGAAGAACAAAUGUGGAAGUAACUAUGCACGUCUUGACGGUACCUAAUCAGAAAGCCACGGCUAACUACGUG